This 433-nucleotide ribosomal RNA is filed under the name uncultured bacterium. RNAcentral's name for it is "partial 16S ribosomal RNA". It matches the Rfam family "Bacterial small subunit ribosomal RNA", at positions 29 to 507 of the family's 1533-position model. The record is from RNAcentral.
AACGAACGCUGGCGGCAUGCCUAACACAUGCAAGUCGAACGAGACCUUCGGGUCUAGUGGCGCACGGGUGCGUAACGCGUGGGAACCUGCCCUUAGGUUCGGAAUAACUCCCCGAAAGGGGUGCUAAUACCGGAUAAUGUCUUCGGACCAAAGAUUUAUCGCCUUUGGAUGGGCCCGCGUUGGAUUAGCUGGUUGGUAGGGUAAAAGCCUACCAACGCGACGAUCCAUAGCUGGUCUGAGAGGAUGAUCAGCCACACUGGGACUGAGACACGGCCCAGACUGCUACGGGAGGCAGCAGUGGGGAAUAUUGGACAAUGGGCGAAAGCCUGAUCCAGCAAUGCCGCGUGAGUGAUGAAGGCCUUAGGGUUGUAAAGCUCUUUUACCCGGGAUGAUAAUGACAGUACCGGGAGAAUAAGCUCCGGCUAACUCCGUG